This 369-nucleotide ribosomal RNA is filed under the name uncultured phototrophic eukaryote. RNAcentral's name for it is "SSU rRNA". It matches the Rfam family "Bacterial small subunit ribosomal RNA", at positions 524 to 896 of the family's 1533-position model. The record is from RNAcentral.
UACGGGGGAUGCAAGCGUUAUCCGGAAUCAUUGGGCGUAAAGCGCCUGUAGGUUGUUUAAUAAGUCUGUUGUUAAAGACUAGGGCUUAACCCUAGAAAAGCAAUGGAAACUACUAGACUAGAGUAUGGCAGGGGUAGAGGGAAUUUCUAGUGUAGCGGUGAAAUGCGUAGAUAUUAGAAAGAACACCGGUGGCGAAAGCGCUCUACUGGACCAUUACUGACACUCAGAGGCGAAAGCUAGGGUAGCAAAAGGGAUUAGAUACCCCUGUAGUCCUAGCCGUAAACGAUGAACACUAGGUGUCGGGGGAUCGCCCCGGUGUCGUAGCUAACGCGUUAAGUGUUCCGCCUGGGGAGUACGCACGCAAGUGUG